AGAGUUUGAUCCUGGCUCAGAUUGAACGCUGGCGGCAUGCCUUACACAUGCAAGUCGAACGGCAGCACGGGUGCUUGCACCUGGUGGCGAGUGGCGAACGGGUGAGUAAUACAUCGGAACAUGUCCUGUAGUGGGGGAUAGCCCGGCGAAAGCCGGAUUAAUACCGCAUACGAUCUACGGAUGAAAGCGGGGGACCUUCGGGCCUCGCGCUAUAGGGUUGGCCGAUGGCUGAUUAGCUAGUUGGUGGGGUAAAGGCCUACCAAGGCGACGAUCAGUAGCUGGUCUGAGAGGACGACCAGCCACACUGGGACUGAGACACGGCCCAGACUCCUACGGGAGGCAGCAGUGGGGAAUUUUGGACAAUGGGCGAAAGCCUGAUCCAGCAAUGCCGCGUGUGUGAAGAAGGCCUUCGGGUUGUAAAGCACUUUUGUCCGGAAAGAAAUCCUUGGCUCUAAUACAGUCGGGGGAUGACGGUACCGGAAGAAUAAGCACCGGCUAACUACGUGCCAGCAGCCGCGGUAAUACGUAGGGUGCGAGCGUUAAUCGGAAUUACUGGGCGUAAAGCGUGCGCAGGCGGUUUGCUAAGACCGAUGUGAAAUCCCCGGGCUCAACCUGGGAACUGCAUUGGUGACUGGCAGGCUAGAGUAUGGCAGAGGGGGGUAGAAUUCCACGUGUAGCAGUGAAAUGCGUAGAGAUGUGGAGGAAUACCGAUGGCGAAGGCAGCCCCCUGGGCCAAUACUGACGCUCAUGCACGAAAGCGUGGGGAGCAAACAGGAUUAGAUAUCCUGGUAGUCCACGCCCUAAACGAUGUCAACUAGUUGUUGGGGAUUCAUUUCCUUAGUAACGUAGCUAACGCGUGAAGUUGACCGCCUGGGGAGUACGGUCGCAAGAUUAAAACUCAAAGGAAUUGACGG
RNAcentral lists this ribosomal RNA (914 nucleotides) under Burkholderia cepacia. RNAcentral's name for it is "bacterial SSU rRNA". It matches the Rfam family "Bacterial small subunit ribosomal RNA", at positions 8 to 916 of the family's 1533-position model. Lineage: Bacteria; Pseudomonadati; Pseudomonadota; Betaproteobacteria; Burkholderiales; Burkholderiaceae. The record is from RNAcentral.